RNA transcript from Podarcis raffonei (Aeolian wall lizard), 2539 nucleotides. It is a transcript of the gene named RAN binding protein 3 like, with no coding region annotated. NCBI's taxonomy places the organism in Eukaryota, Metazoa, Chordata, Lepidosauria, Squamata, Lacertidae. The record is from RefSeq and is a predicted model, not a curated record. The transcript is spliced from 16 exons.
ACUCUAGUCUGAGCUGUCAGAAACAGCAAGCGCAGACCUUGCUGAGCGAGCAGCUUGCUCUCCUAUGAACUGCGACACUCCCCCAGCCCUUUAAAGUUGCUUUAUUAUUUUUUAAACGUUCAAUUGCAAGAAGCUGCUUUGGGAUUCUGGAGAAGGUUGCAGCAUCACUGACAACUGCACAAAGUUACAUCUGGCCAGCUACUUACUUGGGAAGCUGCAGCCACCGCUUUUAGAGGGUGAGAAAAUAAGUCUUAUCUUUUCAGUGUUCUGUCAGCUGCAUUUGCAAAGCUCUAUGGACUUCAGUGAUGAGGAAUCAGCAAAUUCCUGCAAGUAGGGUAAAUGACUUGUGUGCAGGAAUAGGUGCUUCCUGCACGGAGUACAGGUCUCAAUUGUCUCAUUUCAUCAAAAGAAGAGAUCCCAGUGACACAUGGACCAUGAACCAAGCAGCUGAGGCCACAACGAACGUGUACAUGUUCCACACGCUGGACAACAGUAAACACAAAAAUGAAGGCAGAUCCGUGAUUGCACAGCCCAUAUUUGUUUUCAAGAAGGAACGCCCUUGCAAGGUACGAAUGGAAGCCUCCCCUUCUUGCAUUUCUCCUGACAACACAUCUGGGAGGCCUGCAGAAGAUCCUGUGUGCAAGACCGAAAAAGUUUCCGCUGGUUAUUCCAGAAAACGUGCAAGAUCGUCGUCUUUUUCUUUUCAAACUUCCGACUCCCAGUCAUACAGAGAAAAUGUGCUUUCCCCCAAAAGAGCAAGAUCAUCUUCCUUUAACAUCCUUCCAACAUUUCCACCACCCCAGCCAGUAAAGAAGAAUAACAUAUUCAUGACCUCAGCGCUACUACAAAAGAACACUGCUGUGAAAGAAACAGAAAAAGGUCUUCCUUCAACAAAUGUACACCGGGAUGUUUUAAGGCCUGCCAUCUUACAACCGCCGCAAGUUCCUUUGCGCAAACCAGUAGAGAAGAUUGAGAUUGAAAAUGUCCUGGAGGAUAAACACGAAUCAGACACUGAGGUAUCUGGAGACACCUGUUUGUGGGCAGAUGACUCAGAAAGACCGCUUCCAUCUCUUCAUAUUUCAGGCCUUCAAACAAUAAGCAACCAACUACCUGAAGGCAGAACUUUCUCAAGCAGUAGGCAUUCUGACUUUGUGUUUGGAGAAAAUAUAGUAGAAAGAGUUUUGAGGCCAGCGAAAUCCCCAGAGCAUCAUUCUGAAAGUGGCAACAAUGGAAAAAAAUCCACGUCUCCUAUAGGUUUUCAUACCAGGUCUCCGCAGACAACACCAUUUUUUGCCAAGGAUACAACCCUAGUUGAAUCAGCUGCUGCUUAUGUAUCUAGCAAACCGACACAAAGAUAUUUAUUAGAUAAAGUUGAAGUUACUACAGGAGAAGAAGCAGAGCACAAUGUCUUACAGAUCAACUGCAGACUCUUUUUAUUUAAUAAAGUAUCAUCAUCCUGGACUGAAAGAGGCAGUGGCUCUCUGAGACUUAAUGAUACAUCCAGCAAUCAGUGUGGAAUGCUGCAGUCAAGACUGAUAAUGCGAAAUCAUGGGAGCAUGAGGCUCAUUCUUAACACCAGACUCUGGACUCAGAUGGUCAUAGAGAGAGCAAACCGGAAGAGUCUGUGCAUCACGGCUACAGAUUUGGAGGACUCUUGUGUCAAGGUGUUUCUAAUACAGGCAAGCUCCAAGGAUGCAGCUUCUCUAUACGCAGCAAUCCACCACCGCCUUGUUGCAAUGAGGAGCUUUGCUGAUCAGGAAUGUGAUGUAAACCAUGUAGAGCAAGAGCCAGAUAUUCAACCACUGAAUUAUGACAGUGAUGAGGACGAGAAUGAAAAAAUAACUCAAGUGAGCAACAACAAAUCAGGUCCCAGAGAUUGCUGACAACCCAGGCCCCAUCUGUUAUCAAGCAACCUUGGCAGGUCCUCUGACGGCCCCUGCUUUAUUUUAUUUAUCCUGACUAUGUCCACCUCAGUCUGCUUAUCUUUCAUGCCAGCUGACCCUGUUGUAAUACUAUCAAGAUCAUUCUCAGUGGAUUCGCCGACAGCCUGUGGUCUGUUCGUGACAACUUGCUACCUCCAAUCAAAGUAAAAAAAAACACCCAGAAACUUCUUUUUUAAAAAAAUACCCUAGAAGCUCUUACGACAUCAGCAUGUGAGGAAAUUUUGCACACUUUUUGUAUGACUAAGGGGCAAAAACUUUUCAGGGUUGACUUAGCACACAGAGGAUACACGAAACAAGCACUUUAUGGGUUCCAGUCGUCCUUCCUUUUACUUAUACAGGAAUUAGAGAAUGGCCCCAGCUCUUUAAGAAUUUUUUAAAUAAAAAGACUUCAGUUUUUUGAACAAAUGAUCUUUAAGGACAAUUUUAAAGAAAAAGAGAAUCCUAAUUGAAGUUCUUUCAUCAUAUUGAUGGAAUCCAUCAUUUAUCCAUGAAUUACUGACUGCGUUAAUUCCACAUAGAUUUAUCUACACAAUGACUGUCCACAAAAAUCUAUUAUGAGUACAGCUAUAUAAUAAAUAUUUUUCUUAGCAGUCACA